UACGUAGGUGGCAAGCGUUGUCCGGAUUUAUUGGGUUUAAAGGGUGCGUAGGCGGCCUUAUAAGUCAGUGCUGAAAUAUCCCGGCUUAACCGGGAGGGUGGCAUUGAUACUGUAGGGCUUGAGUAAAGUUGAGGUUGGCGGAAUUGACGGUGUAGCGGUGAAAUGCUUAGAUAUCGUCAAGAACACCGAUAGUGAAGACAGCUUACUAGACUUCAACUGACGCUGAGGCACGAAAGUGUGGGGAUCAAACAGG
Molecule: ribosomal RNA, 253 nt
Filed under: uncultured bacterium
Lineage: Bacteria
Description: partial 16S ribosomal RNA
Rfam family: Bacterial small subunit ribosomal RNA
Source: RNAcentral